Engraulis encrasicolus (European anchovy) is the source of this 924-nucleotide long non-coding RNA. RefSeq lists it as uncharacterized. The transcript is spliced from 4 exons. The record is from RefSeq and is a predicted model, not a curated record. NCBI's taxonomy places the organism in Eukaryota, Metazoa, Chordata, Actinopteri, Clupeiformes, Engraulidae.
CCAUAAUGACUUAGGUGUUCGGUGUUUUUGUGGGACAAAAAAAAUCGGUAGGUCUUUUGUUUGUUCAGUAGGCCUAACGCAACCAGCACCGCUGCCCUCCCUCUCCCAGCUCCCACCCUGACGCAACUUGCAGAGACGUUUGUUACAUUUGGAUCACGCGCGCACUGUCCUAGUUCAGCCAGCCGCCCGCGCCAGAGAGAGCCGAGGUCGACUCAUCCCGAAGUAGCUGACGGUCGACUCACCCCGAAGAAGCUCAAAUGUCCUUCUCUUUCGUGAGGAUUUCGCAACUAGCAAAAACUCAGUGCAGUGGAAUGCCCGGAGGUCCUGGUCAACAAAAGAAAAGGGAAGUGACCGAACCUGAAGAAGUCAAACUACUGUCCGGAUUCUCCACAAGGGCAAAAUGCUGGAGUGAUGGAGGGGCAUUUAGAUGGAGGUAAUGAAGAAAGACCCAGACAACACAACAGUGGAUGAAGUGAUGUCUGCUACUUUCUCGCUUCGCCGUAAAGAAACAGUUGGGGAUCAACCCAUGGUUGCCGACAGCAUGGAGAGAUGGCCGGCCAUGUUUUCUGAACGACAGGCCCAUGGUGACACACUUGGAGAAGCAACGAAAGACAUCCACCUUGGAAUUCUGAUUAGCUACGAAGUCAACCAGGAGGGAGCCUUUCCAGCAGCUUGUUUCGGAAGUUGUGGACUCGAGCUGAGGCGUUGUCUGGUUGUAUUUUCACUACCACACGUUGCAGAAACGAAUACGUACUUCAUGGCGCUCGGACACUGCAGGUUAACCGCAUAUAUUAUGCCUAACAGCAAGGCCACACCGUUGCCAUAUCGUUUAAAAUUGUGUAGCACAACGAUUUCCUCCACAACAACUGCCACAUGGAAGACAUCUGCUGGAGGUUGGAGCUGUAGACCUGGUAUGUUAGUCAA